GGGAGAAGAGAGGAGGAGAAGUGCAGCCAAAUUCCCUUUGCAAACUGCUGAGAGGGGGCUGCUGAGAGAACCUGUGGCUGUGGAGCAGAAACAGACGCCUGUGGCUGAGAUGAAGUUUGAAGGUUCACUGCACACUGACAGGCCCAAAUCUGCAUGAGAAUGUGGCCUUGGCGGCUUGCCCCAGCCCAUCAGGGCUGCGCCGCCAUGGCAUCCUCUCCGCUCUGCAACCGGGGCAUUGUUCUGGGCUGGAAAAUCCCUCCCUCCCGCUGAGGAGCGGCUCCACGGCAGCCCAUGAAUAUCGUUCCACCAGCCAAGUUCCCUCUGCAAAUGACAUCCUGCGCCACUGCGCUCUCCAACGGUCCGCCAUCCCCAGGAGGUGCAUCUGCCUACCCGUGGCAACAGCUUCAGGCUAAGCAUCACUCUUGGCAAGGCCAGCCGGCUCCGAGUGGUCCCGUACCCAAAUUACCUACUGUCAUAUGCUGGUUCGGCUACGAGUCAAACUGCAAAUGGGGCUCUACUGAAGUUUCACAUUUCUCCACUGCAGUGCCAUAGACCAGGGAGGCUUUCAGAAAACACCGACUGCUGAGUGGAGCUGUGCGAUGCAUCAUCUCCUCCUCUAUGGUGGAAGCCCCUUUGGACCAGAUGUCAACUUCUGUUCAGGACAAAGCAGUUUGUCAAGUCAUAACUCCAGGGAGUUGGUAACUAAGCAACAGAUCAACUGUUGCAAAACUUUGAUCUCUUAAUGAUGCUCAUUUGGGAGCCUUCUGACAAGGAAUUCUCUGAGGGCUGGUAACCUUUUUGAUUGUAUGACCAGAUAAGGAAGAAACAAUUUGGACACACUGUAGAUAGACCCUAAUUUGCAAAAGAAGCCCAUGUGUAGGGUCAUGAAUCCCUGGAGGAGUCUGACCUAUGCCCUAUAGUUAUAAUUCUUGAAGACUUGGAAGAAACUGAGAUACUGAGUGCAUUUCUUGUUUGUCUUUGCUCUCUAUCAGCUCAAAUUCAACUGCCUCAAUAUAGGCAAUUAGUGCCAUUCGAGAUAUGCUGAUUUAUGAGAGACAUGUAAACGGGACUGGCAUGUAUGACACAGGACCUAGAGGGCACUAUCGUACUCCCCUUUUUCUGGAACAACAACUGGACACCUCACAGGACGCACAAGGAUGUUUCAAAUGGCACUAAACACUUAUUUAGGCAAUUGAAUCCUGUCAUAUUUUUCAUGGUGUGGUUCGAGUAAAAUGUGAUAAGGUUCAGCUGCACAAAACUUGUGAAUCUAUCUUCUUCUACUACUGUACAAACUCUGUUCUACCUCCUUGAGGAGAUCACCUGUACAACAGUGUUCCUCAGAGGGAUGGAUCUCAGUGGAAACACGUGUUUAAAUUUUGACUCUGACUCAGGACACCAGGGUACCUGGGUCUUGGUGUGCCAUUUCCACAGAAGAGGAAAGAACCCAAGCAGUGUGCCAGAUAAGCCACUAAUGAAACUUAGAGCUAUGAAGUAUAGAUAUUGCAUGCAGGUCUAAUUCAGUCUAAUUGCAAUGUUAUUUUAAACCCAAUUCAGGUAUUUAUGUAUCAGCUUAUUGAGUCAUUAAGCCUAUUUUUCUUUGGUAUGGAAUUAUAUGGUAAAUAUAUAUAUAUAUUCUACAGUUUGGGAGAUCAAGCUAAAUCCUUAUAUAUUUAUUUUUCCAUAAUGAA
Grus americana (Whooping crane) is the source of this 1688-nucleotide long non-coding RNA. RefSeq lists it as uncharacterized. The record is from RefSeq and is a predicted model, not a curated record. NCBI's taxonomy places the organism in Eukaryota, Metazoa, Chordata, Aves, Gruiformes, Gruidae. The transcript is spliced from 4 exons.